GACGAACGCUGGCGGCGUGCCUAAUACAUGCAAGUAGAACGCUGAAGGAGGAGCUUGCUUCUCUGGAUGAGUUGCGAACGGGUGAGUAACGCGUAGGUAACCUGCCUGGUAGCGGGGGAUAACUAUUGGAAACGAUAGCUAAUACCGCAUAAGAGUAGAUGUUGCAUGACAUUUGCUUAAAAGGUGCAAUUGCAUCACUACCAGAUGGACCUGCGUUGUAUUAGCUAGUUGGUGAGGUAACGGCUCACCAAGGCGACGAUACAUAGCCGACCUGAGAGGGUGAUCGGCCACACUGGGACUGAGACACGGCCCAGACUCCUACGGGAGGCAGCAGUAGGGAAUCUUCGGCAAUGGACGGAAGUCUGUCCGAGCAACGCCGCGUGAGUGAAGAAGGUUUUCGGAUCGUAAAGCUCUGUUGUAAGAGAAGAACGAGUGUGAGAGUGGAAAGUUCACACUGUGACGGUAUCCUACCAGAAAGGA
RNAcentral lists this ribosomal RNA (480 nucleotides) under Streptococcus mitis. Its description in RNAcentral is "bacterial SSU rRNA". It matches the Rfam family "Bacterial small subunit ribosomal RNA", at positions 28 to 492 of the family's 1533-position model. Lineage: Bacteria; Bacillati; Bacillota; Bacilli; Lactobacillales; Streptococcaceae. The record is from RNAcentral.